CAAAGGUGUAGAGUCAUAAAAUGACAUAGGAGCACGAAAAAGAGAAUUUAAUAGCUCUGAGAACAAGGACUUUGAUGAUUGCAAACCUAAGAAAACCGUUGAUAGGGAUCUAGAGAGCAAAAACAGCGUUGAAACAACUCCAAUUACCAAGUAAACUGUAAUCAGUCUCAGAGUGCUAACGUGGGGGUUAUCAACAUUUGCAGCCAUCCAGGAGUUCUGGGUUAUCUGACCAAUCACAAAUGUUACGUGCGAGAGAAUAGCAAUGGAAAAGAACAAGUAUCCUUUGUUCUGAUUUAGAUAUUGAACAUAAGGCGUAAAUCCAGUGUCUCCGACUUCUCUCUCCUCUUGCUUAAUCAACUGAUCACCUCCAGGGGCUACAGAAGUUUUGCUAGUAUCAGUCUUACGAAUUUCUCUUGUAUUUGAUUCCCGCCUUGAUGAAGAAUUAACCUCUGCAACCCUCUCUGAACCAGCAGUCUCUUUGUGUGCAUCAACCAAGUCAUGGAAUUCUUUGCUUGAGGCCAAUAACUGAUGAUAAGGAGCUGCAUUUAAAAUUUCUCCAUCUGACAUUAACAGAACCAUAUCAAAAGCAGGAAGAAAAUCAACUUGGUGGGUCACAAGUAAGACAGUCUUCCCUGAGAGAGCUUCCAUGACGUAUUCAUUAAAUAGGCUACUAGCAGUAUGGGCAUCUACAGCACUGAACGGAUCAUCCAACAGAUAUAUAUCAGCAUUCUGAUAGAGUGCCCGAGCAAGUUGAAUGCGCUGCUUUUGACCACCACUAAGAUUAACUCCUCUUUCACCUAUUUCAGUGAGAUCACCAUAUGGUAGCAACUCAAGGUCUUUUAGUAGUGAACAUUUUUCCAAAGUUUGCUGGUAUCUCUGGCCAUCAUGUGGAGAACCAAACAAAAUAUUUUCUCGUAUUGACCCCGUCUGAAUCCAUGCUGACUGAGAGACAUAGGCAACUGUUCCAAAAACUUUAACAGUUCCUUCGAUACUUGGAACCUCUCCAAGAAUUGCUGCCAGAAGAGUUGACUUUCCUGAGCCCACCUCCCCACAUAUAGCAAUCUUCUCACCGGGUCUAACCUCCAAACUAAUGUUUCUAAGAGUAGGUCGAGGUGGAUUCUCUUCCCAUGAGAGAUUAGCUGAUUUCAAAAGUAUGGCAUGAUCUGUACAUCCAAAGUUGUGGUUCUGCCUAACAUUUGCAUUUUCCAGCUCGGGGGCCUCAAGGAACUUGACAAUCCUUUCAAAGGAAACCUUGGCUUGAAUCACCACACCAAUAACGUCAGGAAUGGUUCUUAUUGGAUCCUGAACCAGACGUAAAGUUGCUACAAAAGUGAAAACGUUACUUGCGUAUAGUGGAACACCUAGAAAAUAACAAGCCCCAAAUGUUGCAGCAGAGACCAAAACAGGUGAUGA
Molecule: unclassified non-coding RNA, 1413 nt
Filed under: Hevea brasiliensis (rubber tree)
Lineage: Eukaryota; Viridiplantae; Streptophyta; Magnoliopsida; Malpighiales; Euphorbiaceae
Source: RNAcentral